UGGGGAAUAUUGCACAAUGGGCGCAAGCCUGAUGCAGCCAUGCCGCGUGUAUGAAGAAGGCCUUCGGGUUGUAAAGUACUUUCAGCGGGGAGGAAGGUGUUGAGGUUAAUAACCUCAGCAAUUGACGUUACCCGCAGAAGAAGCACCGGCUAACUCCGUGCCAGCAGCCGCGGUAAUACGGAGGGUGCAAGCGUUAAUCGGAAUUACUGGGCGUAAAGCGCACGCAGGCGGUUUGUCAAGUCGGAUGUGAAAUCCCCGGGCUCAACCUGGGAACUGCAUUCGAAACUGGCAGGCUAGAGUCUUGUAGAGGGGGGUAGAAUUCCAGGUGUAGCGGUGAAAUGCGUAGAGAUCUGGAGGAAUACCGGUGGCGAAGGCGGCCCCCUGGACAAAGACUGACGCUCAGGUGCGAAAGCGUGGGGAGCAAACA
Molecule: ribosomal RNA, 427 nt
Filed under: uncultured bacterium
Lineage: Bacteria
Description: partial 16S ribosomal RNA
Rfam family: Bacterial small subunit ribosomal RNA
Source: RNAcentral